AGGGACGACGCGGAGGGGUCCCACGCAGGCGCAGAGCUGAACGCUGGCGCAUCGCCAGUCUCGGCUGACAGGAGAGGUGACUGGGUCGAGUAGGAGGGGUUGCGGCGGACACUCUGGGGAGAAGGCCCAAGAUGAUGGUCAGGAGAGCUGAGGGGCGGGCGCUGUGCCGGCUGGAAACCCAGGGUCGUUUGUGGUCUGCAGCCGCUGCCAGCCAGGAGCCUCCGCUGGGAGCCGGCCCUGCCGUUCACGCGGAGCAGCUCGGGCGCGGCCUGCCUCCGGUGCGCUCUGUCCUCCCAGGCCGCGAGCGACGCUGACGCCAUCGGAAGGCGACCGGAAGCGCCGCCGCUGACGCCAUCGGAAGGUGACCGGAAGCGCCGGCGCCGCGUGGCCCUGUGCCCGGUCCCCGAACCCUCUCCGCGCGCUCUCUCCGUAUCCCGUCCUUGGUUCCCUUCUCUGAUUGCAAAGUGGGUCUCUUUGACCUGUUUCUGAGCCCCAUGGGGAAGGAUAAGAAGCGGAGUAGCCGGCGAGGGAGCAAGGAGUGAAGGAAGGGCCUCCUUGCAGACUGUCUGCUAUCAGGCCACGCUCCGGUUGGGACAGAGGCGCGGGUGAAUUUGUCUCUUUCAAAUAGACAAGUGUUUUACGUUUUCACAUUUACAUUUAGUGUAUCUUCCCCACUGUUGAGUGACCUCCCUGGCCAGCAAGGAGAUCACCCAGGAUGACCCACCUCCCGGGGGCUCGGCCCUAGGUGUCCUGUCGGAGAGCUGGGGUCCUGGAAAGAGGGUUUGGAGAGGGUGUGUGCCUGGCGUCUGCCCUCUUUUCUCGCAGCCCCUCCUAGCUAAGGUCUUCCAUCUCAGACAGUACUGUGUAGAUUUAGCCUCUCCGACUUCUUCCAGUUCUCUAGGCACCCGUGACCUCGUGCACCCAGAGGAAGGUGCAUGGGCCAUGGGACAGUGAGUGGGAGGAGUGGAUAAGACUGGGCAUUUGUGCAAAAUAAACGUUGACAUCUU
RNAcentral lists this long non-coding RNA (1007 nucleotides) under Bos indicus x Bos taurus (hybrid cattle). Its description in RNAcentral is "lncRNA (ENSBIXG00005019695.1)". The record is from RNAcentral. Lineage: Eukaryota; Metazoa; Chordata; Mammalia; Artiodactyla; Bovidae.